GACGAACGCUGGCGGCGUGCUUAACACAUGCAAGUCGAACGGAAAGGCCCUGCUUUUGUGGGGUGCUCGAGUGGCGAACGGGUGAGUAACACGUGAGUAACCUGCCCUUGACUUUGGGAUAACUUCAGGAAACUGGGGCUAAUACCGGAUAGGAGCUCCUGCUGCAUGGUGGGGGUUGGAAAGUUUCGGCGGUUGGGGAUGGACUCGCGGCUUAUCAGCUUGUUGGUGGGGUAGUGGCUUACCAAGGCUUUGACGGGUAGCCGGCCUGAGAGGGUGACCGGCCACAUUGGGCCUGAGGUACGGCCCAGACUCCUACGGGAGGCAGCAGUGGGGAAUAUUGCUCAAUGGGCGGAAGCCUGAUGCAGCAACGCCGCGUGCGGGAUGACGGCCUUCGGGUUGUAAACCGCUUUCGCCUGUGACGAAGCGUGAGUGACGGUAAUGGGUAAAGAAGCACCGGCUAACUACGUG
RNAcentral lists this ribosomal RNA (468 nucleotides) under uncultured bacterium. RNAcentral describes it as "partial 16S ribosomal RNA". It matches the Rfam family "Bacterial small subunit ribosomal RNA", at positions 28 to 507 of the family's 1533-position model. The record is from RNAcentral.